RNAcentral lists this microRNA (21 nucleotides) under Pongo pygmaeus (Bornean orangutan). Its description in RNAcentral is "ppy-miR-3170". The record is from miRBase by way of RNAcentral. Lineage: Eukaryota; Metazoa; Chordata; Mammalia; Primates; Hominidae.
CUGGGGUUCUGAGACAGACAG